AUUUAUGUAGUAUAAAAAUUAUUUUUGACUUCCAAUCAGAAGAUCUGACUAAUCAGCAUAAGUA
RNAcentral lists this transfer RNA (64 nucleotides) under Campsosternus auratus. Its description in RNAcentral is "tRNA-Gly". The record is from RNAcentral. Lineage: Eukaryota; Metazoa; Arthropoda; Insecta; Coleoptera; Elateridae.